CGAACGCUGGCGGCAGGCCUAACACAUGCAAGUCGAACGGAUCCUUCGGGAUUAGUGGCGGACGGGUGAGUAACACGUGGGAACGUGCCCUUUGGUUCGGAACAACUCAGGGAAACUUGAGCUAAUACCGGAUGUGCCCUUCGGGGGAAAGAUUUAUCGCCAUUGGAGCGGCCCGCGUCUGAUUAGCUAGUUGGUGAGGUAACGGCCCACCAAGGCGACGAUCAGUAGCUGGUCUGAGAGGAUGAUCAGCCACACUGGGACUGAGACACGGCCCAGACUCCUACGGGAGGCAGCAGUGGGGAAUCUUGCGCAAUGGGCGAAAGCCUGACGCAGCCAUGCCGCGUGAAUGAUGAAGGUCUUAGGAUUGUAAAAUUCUUUCAGCGGGGACGAUAAUGACGGUACCCGCAGAAGAAGCUCCGGCUAACUUCGUG
This 431-nucleotide ribosomal RNA is filed under the name uncultured bacterium. RNAcentral describes it as "partial 16S ribosomal RNA". It matches the Rfam family "Bacterial small subunit ribosomal RNA", at positions 30 to 507 of the family's 1533-position model. The record is from RNAcentral.